GACGAACGCUGGCGGCGUGCCUAACACAUGCAAGUCGAGCGGAGAUGAUGUGAGGAAGUUUUCGGAUGGAAUCACAUUAUUUUAGCGGCGGACGGGUGAGUAACGCGUGAGCGACCAACCUUGCACAGGGGGAUAACGGACCGAAAGGUUCACUAAUACCGCAUGAGACCACGGUGUUGCAUGACACAGGGGUCAAAGGAGGAAUCCGGUGCAAGACGGGCUCGCGUCCGAUUAGGUAGUUGGAGGGGUAACGGCCCACCAAGCCUAUGAUCGGUAGCCGACCUGAGAGGGUGAUCGGCCACAUUGGAACUGAGAUACGGUCCAAACUCCUACGGGAGGCAGCAGUGGGGAAUAUUGGGCAAUGGGGGAAACCCUGACCCAGCAACGCCGCGUGAAGGAAGAAGGUUUUCGGAUUGUAAACUUCUGUCCUUGGUGAAGAGAAGAAGACGGUAGCCAAGGAGGAAGCCCCGGCUAACUACGUGCCAGCAGCCGCGGUAAU
This 499-nucleotide ribosomal RNA is filed under the name uncultured bacterium. RNAcentral describes it as "bacterial SSU rRNA". It matches the Rfam family "Bacterial small subunit ribosomal RNA", at positions 28 to 524 of the family's 1533-position model. The record is from RNAcentral.